CCAAAAGAGAGACCAUUGAAUAAACAAUCCUCAUCUGUCUCCCACUCCAUCCUCAUCUGUUUCCCACGCCAUCCUCAUCCUCAUCUGUCUCCCCUUUUGUGCAUUAUUUUUAUCUUUUGUUCAUCCUCAUCUGUCUCCCAUCCCACGCAUGCCUUCUUUUAUCUUUUGUUCUUUUUUCUGCCCAACGGCUUCUUUUAAAACUCAAGAUUUCUCAAAUAAUUCUCUCCCAAACACCUCUCAUCUCAGCUAUCAAAUCCGUCCGUCAGCCCUGUUCACAGAUCCAAAGCAUCAACUUCCUAAGCUCAAAUCGAAAUUCUCCCUCUAUCAAACUUGUUCCUCUUCAUCUCUACUAUAACAUGUCAAAAAAUUAGCCCAAUCGAAGAAAUUUAGACACCUGAAAUGCAGUUUCAGUAUGUGCAAUAUAGAUCAAUUGAAAUGAAGGCUCUGCAAGAUUGAAGAGGUUUAAAACAACUUAAGCAUAAACCAGGUUGUAUUAUUAUUUUUUAUUGCUUAAAUUUAGUUUUUUUUCAUUUGCUGGUUGGUUGGUUUGGUUGUGUUUCGUUGCUUUGCUGGUUGUGUUUGGUGUGGUGUGUGUUUAUUUUGUUCAUUUGUUGUCUGUCACUUUCUAGAUUUCAGAGUUGCAGUAACAAAAAUGGUUAGGAAACAUGAAUCUGGAAG
Prunus avium (sweet cherry) is the source of this 678-nucleotide long non-coding RNA. RefSeq lists it as uncharacterized. Lineage: Eukaryota; Viridiplantae; Streptophyta; Magnoliopsida; Rosales; Rosaceae. The record is from RefSeq and is a predicted model, not a curated record.